AUACGGAGAGUGCAAGCGUUGUUCGGAAUUAUUGGGCGUAAAGCGCGUGUAGGCGGUCUUACAAGUCUGGCGUGAAAGCCUCGGGCUCAACCCGGGAAGUGCGCUGGAAACUGUAGGACUUGAGUACCGGAGGGGGAAGGGGAAUUCUCGAGUGUAGAGGUGAAAUUCGUAGAUAUUCGGAAGAACAUCAGUGGCGAAGGCGCCUUCCUGGACGGAUACUGACGCUGAGACGCGAAAGCGUGGGUAGCAAACAGGAUUAGAUACCCUGGUAGUCCACGCUGUAAACGAUGGGUGCUAGUUGUUGCGGGUAACCAACCCUGCGGCGACGAAGCUAACGCGAUAAGCACCCCGCCUGGGGAUUACGGCCGCAAGGCUAAA
RNAcentral lists this ribosomal RNA (378 nucleotides) under uncultured Oligoflexia bacterium. RNAcentral describes it as "bacterial SSU rRNA". It matches the Rfam family "Bacterial small subunit ribosomal RNA", at positions 523 to 898 of the family's 1533-position model. The record is from RNAcentral. Lineage: Bacteria; Pseudomonadati; Bdellovibrionota; Oligoflexia.